Molecule: ribosomal RNA, 253 nt
Filed under: uncultured prokaryote
Description: partial 16S ribosomal RNA
Rfam family: Bacterial small subunit ribosomal RNA
Source: RNAcentral
UACGGAGGGGGCCAGCGUUGUUCGGAAUUACUGGGCGUAAAGCGUACGUGGGCGGUUAUUCAAGUCAGAGGUGAAAGCCCGGGGCUCAACCCCGGAACUGCCUUUGAAACUAGAUAACUAGAGUCUUGGAGAGGUUAGUGGAAUUCCGAGUGUAGAGGUGAAAUUCGUAGAUAUUCGGAAGGACACCAGUGGCGAAGGCGACUAACUGGACAAGUACUGACGCUGAGGUACGAAAGCGUGGGGAGCAAACAGG